AACCUUAUGGACCUGCGGGCGUAUACCUGCGGAAGGAUCAUUACCGAGUUUACAAACUCCCAACCCUUUGUGAACCUUACCAUAUUGUUGCUUCGGCGGGACCGCCCCGGCGCCUUCGGGCCCGGAACCAGGCGCCCGCCGGAGGCCCCAAACUCUUAUGUCUUUAGUGGUUUUCUCCUCUGAGUGACACAUAAACAAAUAAAUAAAAACUUUUAACAACGGAUCUCAGAUCGGAAGAGC
RNAcentral lists this unclassified non-coding RNA (240 nucleotides) under soil metagenome. RNAcentral describes it as "partial contains 5.8S ribosomal RNA, internal transcribed spacer 2, and large subunit ribosomal RNA". The record is from RNAcentral.